ACAAGGCCACGUUCGAAAUGGGUCUGAAAUAUAAAACAGCGGUAGUGUAGUUUACAUUACAGACAUGAAAAUUUUCAUUUACUGAUAUUAUUACAUAUUCAUACAUAUCGCCGAAUCUUGCUCAAUAGCAGACUGUAGAUGACUGAACAUCCCAUGAUUUAGGCACGCAAAAUAAGCUACUACGGAGUACUAUAUUCCAACCCAUCCACCGUUAGAUGGUCCGUUAGAUUAUUCGCUAUCUUAUCCUAUGGUAACCGAGAGUAUAAUCCCAAAAGGAUACAAACCUCUCGGUUCCAUUCCACGUUGCAUGCCAUCAUCCAUUACUUAGGUACAGGGGAUGCAAGUGGGGCUAGGCGGACCAAACUGCGAGUCGCUCUCAUGGCGUUGCAGUUCCAUCAGGUGUAUGUGGGCACUCGUAGAUGUUUCUGCAUCGCCGGGUGUAUGGUCGGUUAGGAUCCAAGACGCCUGGUUUCAGUGGUUCGUUACCCACCGACGACGACGACUGAUCUGCUAGCGUCCUUCCUGCACAAGAACUCGCCUCACGCACGGUUAAAUUUCUUUAUGAGUUAUUACAACAGCAACAAAGAUGAGACGAGAAAGCACAUGUGACUGUAACCUAUAUACCGGCCUCUGCAGGGACGGCGUGCAUGGCCGAGAUGACAAGGAAGGCCAUCAGGAACACCAUGCACACAAUCUGCCGCUGCUGCUGCUGCUUCGCCAUCACGCCGGUCUCUUCUCCAGCUGAUCGCAGGUAGAUGAAUCUCCAGCCCUCGAUCGGGUGUGCGCUGCGGGAUGUACAAAGGCAGCAAGGUUCUUUGAGCACCAUUAUAUAGAGGUGCCUGCAGUCAGAAGCACCUCCUAAGAUUUCAGUUUUUAUGCUUAUACACCCUCUCUAA
Molecule: long non-coding RNA, 896 nt
Filed under: Sorghum bicolor (sorghum)
Lineage: Eukaryota; Viridiplantae; Streptophyta; Magnoliopsida; Poales; Poaceae
Description: long non-coding RNA (SBIC_LNC001360)
Source: RNAcentral